This is a long non-coding RNA of Homo sapiens (human), 400 nucleotides long. RefSeq lists it as uncharacterized. The record is from RefSeq and is a predicted model, not a curated record. NCBI's taxonomy places the organism in Eukaryota, Metazoa, Chordata, Mammalia, Primates, Hominidae. The transcript is spliced from 3 exons.
GGCUUUUGCAAUCACCAUAGGAAGAAGAUUCCACAGUAGCCUGUGAUUCCAGAAGAAUGAAAGACAUGUGGAGCAGCUAUGGACCAAGUUAACUAGAAGCCAACUUAGAUUAGCCAUUCUUCAGCCACAGACAUGCAGCACGUGGUUGGGUGCAGCUUGCAAUCACAAAUCAAAACGGAAGAGGAAGAGGACAACUGUAUAAAGCAGCGUGAUUUAAGUUGAUCUGUGGGACAAAGAGUUAAGCCACAAAUAUUUGGGGAGAGAGAUAUUCAAACAUCCCAACAACUUGGAGCAGCAUGGGAUUUCUAAAGAAGCUGACAAAGGAGAAAAGGCCCAAGAAAGCAACUCUGAAUCAAAAAGCCAUUAACUCUUUGAGAAUGUCUUACUGGUCUUACUCUGA